Molecule: long non-coding RNA, 6622 nt
Filed under: Citrus x clementina
Lineage: Eukaryota; Viridiplantae; Streptophyta; Magnoliopsida; Sapindales; Rutaceae
Description: Citrus clementina (C. clementina) long non-coding RNA (CCLE_LNC002058)
Source: RNAcentral
GUGGAGGUGGUACUACUGGCUCUCUCCCGUGGCUUGGACACUCUAUGGCCUUGUUACAAGUCAAGUUGGUGACAUAGAAGGCAACGUGGAAAUUCCGGGAAGCACCGCUACGAUGACAGUGAAGCAGCUUCUAAAAGAUAGUUUCGGGUUCAAGUAUGACUUCCUUCCGGUUGUUGCUGUAGUCAAACUUGUCUGGCUUCUCGUCUUCGUCUUUGUGUUUACCCUUGCCAUCACCUUAAUUAACUUCCAGAGGAGAUAAAUAGCUCGAAAAUCUCCAACAUAUGGUAGGAAAUGUUUGAUGUAAUUGUUAGUCAUGAAUGAGGCGAGGGGAAUAAAAGGUUGUUACCACUUUGCGCAUUCUUUAUUCCUUGUGCAUUGAUCAUUCUUUUGUCCAGAUUUUUGUUGCAGGCCGCCAGACCAGAAUGGCAGAGUCUUGAAUUUGAUCAAGGACCCUUUCCAAUUCCGUUACUUCUGUAUACUUACUGCCUCCUUUACUCGGGUAUUCAACAAUUUCUAGAGUAUUUUCAAACAUGUAUAUAUAUAUAUAUAUAAAAGUUAAAAAAUAUAUAUAAUAUGUAGAAUUAAUGUGAUGUUACAAGUUAUUGCAUACACCUAAUCUUUUCUGACGUCUUGAUCAUUAUUACUCUAUGUCUCAAAACAAAAUAAUUUAAAAGAUUUGAUCACCAGUGUAUGAAUCUGAAAGAAAGAGGGGGCAGGCCCACACGUAGCUUUCCCCAUAGUAGAUAUAAAUUGAACACAAUCUCUUUCCCGGACCCCUAAUAUCAGUUAGUGUAGUAAUUUUUGUACAAAUUGAUCCAAAACCGUCCCGUGAUUUAAUUACUCUUGCUUGGUCUAACCCCCCCCCCCCCCCAAAAAAAAAAAAAAAGAAGAAUUCACCUAUAGCCAUCGCCUGCCAUCGUUUCGAUAGCCAAUUUGGAAUUAACCGUCACUUUUCACCAUGCGCUGAAGUUAAAUUUUAUAUCACGAACUGAAAGCAAUGGUAUGCUUCUUUUCUUCGUCUAUGCUUUGGUUUAUAGGCCACCAAAUCUGUACUCAUAAUGACCGGCGGCAAUAUUGUUUAUUCUCUUUAUCAUCGUCCUUCUUGUUGUUAUUAUUAUUAUUAUUAUUAUUAUUAUUAUUAUUAUUAUUAUUAUUAUGGAUCUUUGCAAAAUAUUUUUCCUUUAAUAUUAAUGAUGGUAAAAAUAUGAAUUAUAUUAUAAUAAACUUCACCUGAAUUAUAUUUUGUAAAUAUGAAAAAAAAAAGUAUUAAAUAGGGGGCCCCUUUGUUACCUGGCGGCCAGGUUUCAAGUUCAACAAAAAAAGAUUUUCUUUGCUACUGUGUCAAUUCUAGAAUCUAGACGUGUGGGGACACGUUUUUAAUUGGGAUGAACAUUGGAUACUAAUUAGAAUUUUUACGUUUGUUUGACAUUUAGAAAAAUCAAUGCGUCUUUUCUUUCCGAGUGAAGUCCGAAGACAAUCUGUUCGUAGAGCACAAACUGAGAAUGUAAUUGGGAAAAUGGUCUUCCAAAAAGUCAGAGAUUUGACACCUACUUUGGAGUUUAGGCUAAAGAAUCGGCUGCCCGUUCAUUCCAACUCUUCCCUAAUUAGGUCCAUGGUAUCCAAUUUGGACAACAUCAUACGCGCACGUGCCAUUAUAAUUAUAACUUACUUGCAUAACAAAUUUAUUCACUAAAUAAUGUGUGGAUUUUGCUUUGAUCAGUUUGAGCAAUGAGAGAAUCGUGUUAAUUGCUUUCUAAUUUGUUGUUAGAAAGUAGAAACCCUUUAACUUUGCUGGCCAAACCUAUCAAUUAAGUCCAGUCACUUCAUGAUGAAUAUAAUAAGGUAAUACCUAAAUUACAUUUGAUGUAACUUAUAAUCAGUUAAUUUUAUGUGUUAUAUUUCAAUCCAACGUAUCAAAAAUAAUUUAUACAAAAUGAGUAAUAGGUGGCCUAUAAGCUGAAUUGUCCUGCUUUUAUGUGAUGUCAGUUAUAUAAUUUAGCAAAUAUCCAAUAAUAAUAAUAAUAAUAAUAUUUAGGACCAUAUCACAAAAACAAUAUUAGUUGUUAUCUUAUCCUAUUAAUUUUAAUUUUUUAUUUAGCAGCGUAUUGUUGACUUGUUAUUUAAGAAUUUAUCUUAGAAUGUCAUGCCCGCAGUCCUCUUUCAUAAUGGUUUUCAAUUAUUUUUCAGUGAUGAUAUAAUAAUUUACAGUCGGAUAUCACAAACAUUAAUCAAACAUUUAAUUCAAAUAUCUACGGCUCACAUCAUAAAACGACAAAGAAGUAUUUUUCUCAGGGUUGGUUUAAGAUGUUGUCAUCUUAUGAAGAAAAUACGUAACACGUAAAAUUUUUUGAUUUCGUAAGUGUGGAUAUUUCUUUUCUGGUAAGCAAGUUCCCUUUAAUAAUAUAAAUUUAUCUUUGGCAUACGGCGCUAAUCAUCUUUGAAUCCUCCUUCACUUGGGGGCGGCCCUUCAUAAUAAAAUUCCACCCCCAAAUUGUUUUUAUUCUUUACUUCUUUUAUGGAUUUUCCAACAAUUUACAUUUAAUUUCGUGCUUUACUUUAAAUAUCUUGAGCAGAAAAUGUCUAUUAAUUAAAAAGACCAUUGACAAGUAAAUAUAACAGGGGGCCCGGGGAACAACAAUAUCCAUUUUUAAGUAUGAGAGGCGGCGCAUGAAUAAAAUUGGUUUUGCCCCGUUUGUGAUUGUUUUAAGAGAUUUAAAAGUAAUUUUGAAAAAUUAAAAGUUAAAUUUUAGUGUUUGAUAAUUUUUUUAAAAAAAUUAUUUUUGUUUAAAUUACCACAUUCGAGAGCAAAUUGAAAAAAUAAGAAAAAGAGCAACUUUUCAAAAUCUAAUUUUAAAAAUCACUUUCAUAUUUAAUAUAAUUCAUUUUAUAUCUUCAUAUAUAUUAUAAAAAUAUAAAAUUAUCCUUAUUAAUUAAGAAGUAAAAUUAUUAACUUUAAAGAGAUUAUAAUUAUUACUAAUUAGAUUAAUAUAACAAAAUAAAAAAUAAAAUUAAUAAUACAAAAUAAUUACUUUAGUCAUCAAUUAUUAUAUGUACACAAUAAACAAUAUUAUAUAUAUAUAUAUGUUUAUAAAUGUUUAAAUAAAUUUUAUUCAAACGUUAUAUUGAAUUCAGUCAUUUAGUUUCUUAUAGCAGUUUAAUAAUAAGAUUUACCAAAUACAUAUGCCUGUUUUUAAAACUCACAACACUUUAAAAAUAAAUUUUACCAAAAUAUUUAACUGAUUCACUUCAUAACUAAUUUUUUUUAAGACACAAUUAAUUAUAAUUAUUUUAAAAUUUACAGCAUUACCAAACUAGUCCUCAUUUGUAAAAAAACGGAGUUUCAACUUUCGUUUUUUUUUUUUCUUACAAAUUCGUAGCCUUAAGUUGCCAAAUCGAUGGGCUCACAUUAAUUGGAUAAGUAAGAUAUAAAGAAUCAAUUUGCCAAUUGCUGGCAAACUAAAUUUAUCAAAGAAUCAUCAAUUAAUUAAUUUUAGGGCCAGUUUGUGAAUGUUGUAGCUUUUAAAAUAAUUGUUGUAGAAAUAAUCAGCUGUAAAUAAAAUUAAUUAAGUAUUUGAUAAGUUUUAUUUUCAAAAAUACUAUGAGUUAUGAAAACAGUUAUGGACAUUUGGUAAAUUUUACUAUUAAAUUGCUUAGAGAAAAUAAAUGACUAAAAUGUAUAUAAUGUAGCAUAAGAUUUACUUAUACAUAUAAAAACAUGUACAUAUAAUAUUUUUAAUUGUGUAUUAUAGUAAUUUUUACUAAAAAUAAAAUUUAUAAUAUAGUGAAACAUAUUUAAUAAUAAUUCAACCAACAAAUUGAUAAUAAUAAAUUUAUGUUGAUGAAUUAUAAUAACAAUUUAUUAAAAUAUUGAUUUUGUUUUCAAUUUUAAUAAGGAUAAUUUUGGGUUUAGGUAAUAAUUUUAAAGAAUAUUUAUAUAAUUGUAUUAAAUGAUAAAAUUGAUUUUCAAAAUCAGAAUUUAAAAACUACUUCUUUCAUACUUUUCAAAAUCAGUUAUAGAAGGGGAUUAUUUUGAUAAAAAAGUGAUUUUGAUUUUUUUUUUUUUACCAAACACUAAAAUUAACUUUUAGAUUUUCAAAAUCACUUUUAAGCUUCCCAAAAACAAUCCCAAAUAGGGCCCUUACUGAGUCAGAAAAGCCAAAUUUAUUGCACUUCACGAGUAUGAAUUACGAUACAUGUUGCCACUACUAUUACCACUAAUCAUAUGUUCUUGCUCUUGCUUCCAAUAGACAUAUUUAGUACUGACCACUUAUCAAUGGUUUUUUAGUUAGUACCUCUACAAACUACUAUCAUAAAAAAAUAGUUUAUAUAAAUUACUCAUAUCAUAAAACAAACAAUUUUAACCAAAUAUUUUACACAAAAAUUAUUUUAAUUCUACUACAAAGGUGUAACAUAUAUUUUUAUUAUAGUAUAUUUUAAUCAUUAUGUACCGAUCACAAUGCUUUAACAAUUGUAUUCACCAAAAUAAUCUACUCAUAUAUUUUUAUUUUUAAGAGUUACUAGAAGAAGAGACUUGAGUCUUGAGGUAUCAAGCUAUCAAUCCUUUCAAAGCAGGAUAACCCAACACUUCCCCGGAAACAAAAAAUGUAAAAGUAAAACCUGAUAGCAACCCACUCGAAGACGAAGAGAACUCAUCAAUUAUGUCACCAAUUGAAUAAUUUAUAAAUACAGCUCAAAGCCGCGUCCUCAUUUUCUUUUCCUUCGUGAGUUUGGUUUUUACAGCUUCUAGAUACAGAGAAACCACCGCUAAUCCAAAAUUGACUGACCUUCGUUUUAGACUACCCAAAUUCAAUAAUUCAAAAACAAUACUGAACGUUUUCCCACUAUUUACAAUUUUUUUUUUUUAAAAAGAAAGAAAAAAAGGCGCGCACGAGUUGUGAGUUCUCAGUAAUGUUCACUGGUGAAUGGUUUCUUUAUAAAAUACUCAUUUCCCUCCAUUAUUUUCAUCUUAAUCCACCUUUACUUCCCUCAAUGAACAAGGCUUUUUUUUGAAGAGGCCAAUUCCUUUGGGAAGCUACGGAUCCACUUUUUUUCCUUAUUCAAAGAUCAGUCCCUUAGCUGAGUGUUUUCCCCGACUUUAUCUAUGUAAACAAAUAAUUCGAAAUGCGUCGACUCUUUUAGAACAGGUCCCAGUCAAGUUAGAAACGUUUUCAUUUUCUUUAGAUAUCAUUUAAUAAUUCGAAAUUGAAUAGGACAAGCUACCAGGGUAUAUAAAAUAAGCUACUUCUGAUUUUUCUUUGGCACUAUGUAUGAUGCAUUUUAAAACUAACUGUUGAUCUGCAUUACAGGAAAUUCCUGUCUGGUGGUGGUGGUGGUACCACUGCCUUUCUCCAGUGGCUUGGAAUCUCUCUAUGGCCUUGUGACUUGUCAAGUUGGUGACAUAAAAACACUUCUGGAGAUUCCUGAUGAUAAAAAUACUAAAAGGACAGUGAAGCAAUUCAUUAAUGAUAAUUAUGAUUACAAGAAUGAUUUCCUUCCUGUCGUUGGUGUCGUGCAUCUCGUCUGGAUUGGCGUUUUCUUCUUCGUGUUUGCCUAUUGCAUUAAGUAACUCAACUUCCAAAGGAGAUAAACCAGCUUAAAUCUUGAGAAGGCAUCCCAGUCUUAGAAUUAGUCGGAGAUGGGGAAUCAAAUACUUGCCUCUUGUUGUACUUCUUUUACCUUAUUUAUUAGUUAAGUGGAUUUAGUGAUAAUAAAUGCUGUACCUUUUCAUCCUGAGCAGUAAUAUUGAUUUCCUUUGCAUAUUCAACCAACCCUUGUAAGUGGCUUUUUUUCUUUUUUUUAAAAUUUUUAAGUUGUAGUGAUAUUUAAGCAAGAAUGAUAAGUCAAUAAAUAGGAACGAAUAUCAAGAAGAAAAUUGAAACAGAGGAAUCCGUUAAAGCUAUGUUAAUUACUCAAGAACAAGUACAGACCACAGAUAAUUCUACUCAUAUAGCUAACCUCUAUUCCGAAAGAAAGCUUACCUCAAUGUGCCUCAUUGAUCAGCUUUAUGACCAAGUCUCUGAAUACAUGUAUUCAAACAACGCGUUUGGUCCUAUCCUGUUAAAUACAUUCUCCUCUUAUUUGCGCUGUACGAGCAAUAUUCUCUCCUUAUGCUGCAAUAAAUUGAGAGAGAGCACUGCUUUUUUCUUUUUUCUUUUUUCUUUCUUUUGAUCCCCUUAUGAUGCAAUAAAUUAAGAAAGAGCACUACUUUUUUUUUUCCCUUUUUCUUAAAAAUUUUCUUUAAAAUGUAAGGGUGAGUAAAUUCCAAAUUCAUGUUUUAAUCCCUUAUUUUUCUCGAGAUUCAAACUUAGGUGGCUUGUCAAAUAAAACUAUUUGAAAACCACUCAACUACACCCUUGGGGACAGUUAAGAGAGAGCACUACAAUUGGUCAUGAAUUGUACUAACAAUUGCAUUCAUAUUUGGAAAUGAUGUAUCGAGAGAGCAUAUUUGCAGAAAAUAAACAAUUUUUUACACUAAAUACAUUGCUUUAAGCCGUUAACAUCAUUUUAAUUUAACUAUUUUAUUGUUGUAACAUAAACAUUAUAAAAUUUCAAAAAAAAUCCUUUUGUGCCAUAAUAAUUUAGGUGUUUAAUUUUAUAACUUAUAUAAUUUAAUGUUUUUAAA